AGUCACGCUGUAAACGAUGUCGAUUUGGAGUUGAGGGCAUGACCCUUGGGCUCCGGAGCUAACGCGUUAAAUCGACCGCUGGGGAGUACGGCCGCAAGGUUAAAACUCAAAUGAAUUGACGGGGGCCCGCACAAGCGGUGGAGCAUGUGGUUUAAUUCGAUGCAACGCGAAGAACCUUACCUGGUCUUGACAUCCAUAGAAUCUUGUAGAGAUACGAGAGUGCCUUCGGGAGCUAUGAGACAGGUGCUGCAUGGCUGUCGUCAGCUCGUGUUGUGAAAUGUUGGGUUAAGUCCCGCAACGAGCGCAACCCUUAUCCUUUGUUGCCAGCGGGUAAUGCCGGGAACUCAAAGGAAACUGCCGUUGAUAAAGCGGAGGAAGGUGGGGACGACGUCAAGUCAUCAUGGCCCUUACGACCAGGGCUACACACGUGCUACAAUGGCGUAUACAAAGGGAGGCGAAGGUGCGAACUGGAGCGGACCUCACAAAGUACGUCUAAGUCCGGAUUGGAGUCUGCAACUCGACUCCAUGAAGUCGGAAUCGCUAGUAAUCGUGAAUCAGAAUGUCACGGUGAAUACGUUCCCGGGCCUUGUACACACCGCCCGUCACACCAUGGGAGUGGGUUGCACCAGAAGUAGAUAGCUUAACCGAAAGGAGGGCGUUUACCACGGUGUGAUUCAUGACUGGGGUGAAGUCGUAACAAGGUAACCA
This 708-nucleotide ribosomal RNA is filed under the name uncultured Enterobacteriaceae bacterium. Its description in RNAcentral is "bacterial SSU rRNA". It matches the Rfam family "Bacterial small subunit ribosomal RNA", at positions 793 to 1502 of the family's 1533-position model. The record is from RNAcentral. Lineage: Bacteria; Pseudomonadati; Pseudomonadota; Gammaproteobacteria; Enterobacterales; Enterobacteriaceae.